Molecule: long non-coding RNA, 1600 nt
Filed under: Homo sapiens (human)
Lineage: Eukaryota; Metazoa; Chordata; Mammalia; Primates; Hominidae
Description: HSALNT0116372
Source: RNAcentral
CUCUGUGUUUAAACAGUAUGGAGCUAUACUCCAUUUAGAAAGGAUGUUUAUUUCACAGCCUCUGUUGUGGGGAAGUAUGUAAGGUAAUUUGGAACUCAGUUUCCAGCGGGACCUGUCGAGGUGGAAGUCCUACACCUUGCAGCAGCAUCAGAGCACCUUCCAGACACCCUCCCCCUGGCCCCUACACGCCUGACUGGAAACAUAAUCCUGGCUCCAUAAGGUGUGGGCUUAUUUUAUUUCUCAGAGCAUAGUUCAGCCCAUUUCUGAGAAGAUGCUGCACACAAUUCCAUUGUCUGGAUGCUCUAGUAAUGUGCCUGUUACUGGCUAUCACUUGAGGACUAAGCAAUUGUGAGCACUUGCCACCACCCAGCUGGUGGGGACACUGGAAUACCUGGGGAAGAGGAGUGCACAGGCACCCUGCCACAUCCUCCCCUCCUGAUGCCCAGGUGUGCCCCAGCCAGUCUCAGGUCCCCUGGGGCCCAAGGCAUAGCAGGGCAGUAACGCCUCUGAGUAAUGCGGGUCUCAUGCCGUGUCCUGAAGGAACACACCUGAGAUACGGCCGACUGGAGUGCGUUGCACAUUUGCUUCUUUUUAGUCACCAGGAAGGAGUAAAUUAUGAGGGAGGGUCGGAGUUCUGCAGAGCACCGAGGGCCACAUGGGGAAGGCGUUCUUGUUUCUAGAGGCCGCUUUAACCAGACCCACUUGGGGGCCCCGUGGCGAUUUAUUUCCAUACAUCGCGGCAGGCUCACCUUCAAAGGAGUUUUAUGAUGUUGAAACAACCAGUCUGACAAAAAGACAUUGUAAUCUGUGGACUACUUUUUGUCACUUUAACCAAUUACAAUUUUAUGUAGCUAGAUCUUCAUCAGUAAUUUUCUUAGAGUUUGAAAGACAAAAUGCCACAUCCGUUUACCGGGCCUCGUUUUAUGCCGUGAUUCUCUUGCUGUCUUCGAAGGCACUGUCAUCAUUCUGUCUUCUAGAUGAUCUUAGAAUUCAUGUAAUUGUCGGGGGCUUCCCCAAACAUAGUGGCUGGCAGUGAGUUGCCAUAGCUGACACAUUCCGGGAAUCCUCAUUAGCUGGGAAAGGUGGACGAUGUUUGUCUUCCACAUUCCAGUGCCGGGGAGAAAGCUCCUUUUCAGAGAGAGCGGACCUGGCAUGCUUGCACCGCAGCCACGUCACCCCGGGCCGUUCAACAAAGCAAGCGGCCCGUGCACCGGGGUCCAGGCUGAUCACCGGCGGCCGGCCGCCUGGAAGGGGGCGCUGGGCCAGUCUCUGUGGGCUUGGGUGUGGUCAGCCUGUCCCCAGCUCCUGGGUUCGGAAGGUAUUUUGGAAUUUUGGUGAUAGCUGAACUGCUUCUUACCAGCUGGGAGAGGGAUCUGAGGGCGUGCUGAGGAAGACCCGAUGGAGAGCUCCGCUCACAGCGAUGCCAUUAGGUUCUCACCGCCGCCACCAGACGCAGUGGAACACACACAUUCACAAUCGUGAUGCCAUCGGAGCCCAGGGCCUUGUCCGCACGUGGCAGCACAGCACGGCAGAGGCUGCAGGGCUGAAGCCUGCGCAGCGGCGCUGGUGUCCGAAGGCGCAGGGGAAGGGCAGCCCCUCU